GAUGAACGCUAGCUACAGGCUUAACACAUGCAAGUCGAGGGACCGGCGCACGGGUGAGUAACACGUAUCCAACCUGCCCUUUACUCGGGGAUAGCCUUCCGAAAGAAAGAUUAAUACCUGAUAUAAAGGACGGGGAUGCGUUCCAUUAGGUUGUUGGUGAGGUAACGGCACACCAAGCCUUCGAUGGAUAGGGGUUCUGAGAGGAAGGUCACUGACAUUGGAACUGAGACACGGUCCAAACUCCUACGGGAGGCAGGAGUGAGGAAUAUUGGGCAGUGGGCGCGAGCCUGAACCAGCCAAGUAGCGUGAAGGAUGAAUGCUUAUGGGUCGUAAACUUCUUUUAUAUAAGAAUAUGUAUUAUAUGAAUAAGGAUCGGCUAACUCCGUGCCAGCCGCCGCGGUAAAAC
This 406-nucleotide ribosomal RNA is filed under the name uncultured bacterium. Its description in RNAcentral is "partial 16S ribosomal RNA". It matches the Rfam family "Bacterial small subunit ribosomal RNA", at positions 28 to 526 of the family's 1533-position model. The record is from RNAcentral.